AAGACUUAAAUGGCAAGUCGAGGGAGAUCCUGUAGGGACUCUUAGCUUUCCUUGCCGUGAACCGGCGCACGGGAUGCUGCCCCCUAAGCGGCCUGCCCUCCUGGAGGCGACAACCUUCCCCCCUGAAGAUGAUCGAGGGUACAUCGUUCUGUGACAUUCGUUAUCGGGAUGGAUUCCGCAUGGAACUGUGGGGCUGUACCUCAUUGGCUAGACAGCGGCCUACCGGCCCAACGAGGCGACGACGCGCAGAGAUUCUGAAAGGACAGUCUGCCACUGAGACACUGACACAACUCCUGCAGUAGGUAGCGAAAUGGAAUUUUCGUCAAUGGGCGCAAGCCUGAACGAGCGAUGCCGCGUGAGUGAAGAAGGCCUUCGGGUCGUAAAGCUCUGUUGCGGGGGAAAAAAGGCAGCAUCAGGAAAUGGGUGCUGACUGAUGGUGCCCCGCCAGAAAGUCACGGCUAACUACGUGCCAGCAGCCGCGGUAAUACGUAGGUGGCGAGCGUUAUCCGGAAUGAUUGGGCGUAAAGGGUGCGCAGGCGGUCCUGCAAGUCUGGAGUGAAACGCAUGAGCUCAACUCAUGCAUGGCUUUGGAAACUGGAGGACUGGAGAGCAGGAGAGGGCGGUGGAACUCCAUGUGUAGCGGUAAAAUGCGUAGAUAUAUGGAAGAACACCAGUGGCGAAGGCGGCCGCCUGGCCUGUUGCUGACGCUGAGGCACGAAAGCGUGGGGAGCAAAUAGGAUUAGAUACCCU
Molecule: ribosomal RNA, 750 nt
Filed under: uncultured bacterium
Lineage: Bacteria
Description: bacterial SSU rRNA
Rfam family: Bacterial small subunit ribosomal RNA
Source: RNAcentral